UGGGGAAUUUUGGACAAUGGACGCAAGUCUGAUCCAGCCAUGCCGCGUGCGGGAAGAAGGCCUUCGGGUUGUAAACCGCUUUUGUCAGGGAAGAAACGAGUUUCUCUAAUACAGAGACUUAAUGACGGUACCUGAAGAAUAAGCACCGGCUAACUACGUGCCAGCAGCCGCGGUAAUACGUAGGGUGCGAGCGUUAAUCGGAAUUACUGGGCGUAAAGCGUGCGCAGGCGGUUAUAUAAGACAGAUGUGAAAUCCCCGGGCUCAACCUGGGACCUGCAUUUGUGACUGCAUAGCUAGAGUGCGGCAGAGGGGGAUGGAAUUCCGCGUGUAGCAGUGAAAUGCGUAGAUAUGCGGAGGAACACCGAUGGCGAAGGCAAUCCCCUGGGCCUGUACUGACGCUCAUGCACGAAAGCGUGGGGAGCAAACA
Molecule: ribosomal RNA, 427 nt
Filed under: uncultured bacterium
Lineage: Bacteria
Description: bacterial SSU rRNA
Rfam family: Bacterial small subunit ribosomal RNA
Source: RNAcentral